RNAcentral lists this ribosomal RNA (497 nucleotides) under uncultured bacterium. RNAcentral describes it as "partial 16S ribosomal RNA". It matches the Rfam family "Bacterial small subunit ribosomal RNA", at positions 28 to 507 of the family's 1533-position model. The record is from RNAcentral.
GAUGAACGCUGGCGGCGUGCCUAAUACAUGCAAGUCGAGCGAACGGACGAGAAGCUUGCUUCUCUGAUGUUAGCGGCGGACGGGUGAGUAACACGUGGAUAACCUACCUAUAAGACUGGGAUAACUUCGGGAAACCGGAGCUAAUACCGGAUAAUAUUUUGAACCGCAUGGUUCAAAAGUGAAAGACGGUCUUGCUGUCACUUAUAGAUGGAUCCGCGCUGCAUUAGCUAGUUGGUAAGGUAACGGCUUACCAAGGCAACGAUGCAUAGCCGACCUGAGAGGGUGAUCGGCCACCCUGGAACUGAGACACGGUCCAGACUCCUACGGGAGGCAGCAGUAGGGAAUCUUCCGCAAUGGGCGAAAGCCUGACGGAGCAACGCCGCGUGAGUGAUGAAGGUCUUCGGAUCGUAAAACUCUGUUAUUAGGGAAGAACAUAUGUGUAAGUAACUGUGCACAUCUUGACGGUACCUAAUCAGAAAGCCACGGCUAACUACGUG